This 1444-nucleotide ribosomal RNA is filed under the name Synechococcus-like str. ABRAXAS. Its description in RNAcentral is "bacterial SSU rRNA". It matches the Rfam family "Bacterial small subunit ribosomal RNA". Lineage: Bacteria; Bacillati; Cyanobacteriota. The record is from RNAcentral.
AGUUUGAUCCUGGCUCAGGGAUGAACGCUGGCGGCGUGCUUACACAUGCAAGUCGAAGCGGCUUCGGCUAGUGGCGGAAGGGUGAGUAACGCGUGAGAAUCUGCCCUCAGGAGGGGGAUAACAGCUGGAAACGGCUGCUAAUACCCCAUAUGCCGAGAGGUGAAACAAAUUUCGCCUGAGGAUGAGCUCGCGUCUGAUUAGCUAGUUGGUGAGGUAAGGGCUCACCAAGGCAUCGAUCAGUAGCUGGUCUGAGAGGAUGAUCAGCCACACUGGGACUGAGACACGGCCCAGACUCCUACGGGAGGCAGCAGUGGGGAAUUUUCCGCAAUGGGCGCAAGCCUGACGGAGCAACGCCGCGUGAGGGACAAAGGCCUCUGGGCUGUAAACCUCUUUUGUCAAGGAAGAAGACUUGACGGUACCUGAGGAAUAAGCCACGGCUAAUUCCGUGCCAGCAGCCGCGGUAAUACGGGGGUGGCAAGCGUUAUCCGGAAUUAUUGGGCGUAAAGCGUCCGCAGGCGGCCCAGAAAGUCUGUUGUUAAAACCUGGGGCUCAACUCCGGCCAGGCAAUUGAAACUACUGGGCUUGAGUGUGGUAGGGGCAGAGGGAAUUCCCGGUGUAGCGGUGAAAUGCGUAGAUAUCUGGAAGAACACCAGUGCCGAAGGCGCUCUGCUGGGCCAUAACUGACGCUCAUGGACGAAAGCUAGGGGAGCGAAAGGGAUUAGAUACCCCUGUAGUCCUAGCCGUAAACGAUGAACACUAGGUGUCGGGAGAAUUAACCCUCUCGGUGUCGUAGCCAACGCGUUAAGUGUCCCGCCUGGGGAGUACGCACGCAAGUGUGAAACUCAAAGGAAUUGACGGGGGCCCGCACAAGCGGUGGAGUAUGUGGUUUAAUUCGAUGCAACGCGAAGAACCUUACCAGGGCUUGACAUCCUGCGAAUCCCUGAGAAAUCGGAGGGUGCCUUCGGGAACGCAGUGACAGGUGGUGCAUGGCUGUCGUCAGCUCGUGUCGUGAGAUGUUGGGUUAAGUCCCGCAACGAGCGCAACCCACGUCUUUAGUUGCCAGCAUUUAGUUGGGCACUCUAGAAAGACCGCCGGUGAUAAACCGGAGGAAGGUGUGGAUGACGUCAAGUCAUCAUGCCCCUUACGUCCUGGGCUACACACGUACUACAAUGCUACGGACAAAGGGCAGCAAACUCGCGAGAGCUAGCAAAUCCCAUAAACCGUGGCUCAGUUCAGAUCGUAGGCUGCAACUCGCCUGCAUGAAGGAGGAAUCGCUAGUAAUCGCAGGUCAGCAUACUGCGGUGAAUACGUUCCCGGGCCUUGUACACACCGCCCGUCACACCAUGGAAGUUGGCCAUGCCCGAAGUCGUUACUCCAACCCGCAAGGGAGGGGCAGGACGCCGAAGGGAGCGAUGACUGGGGUGAAGUCGUAACAAGGUAACCG